RNAcentral lists this ribosomal RNA (666 nucleotides) under Pseudomonas aeruginosa. Its description in RNAcentral is "bacterial SSU rRNA". It matches the Rfam family "Bacterial small subunit ribosomal RNA", at positions 87 to 749 of the family's 1533-position model. Lineage: Bacteria; Pseudomonadati; Pseudomonadota; Gammaproteobacteria; Pseudomonadales; Pseudomonadaceae. The record is from RNAcentral.
UGGAUUCAGCGGCGGACGGGUGAGUAAUGCCUAGGAAUCUGCCUGGUAGUGGGGGAUAACGUCCGGAAACGGGCGCUAAUACCGCAUACGUCCUGAGGGAGAAAGUGGGGGAUCUUCGGACCUCACGCUAUCAGAUGAGCCUAGGUCGGAUUAGCUAGUUGGUGGGGUAAAGGCCUACCAAGGCGACGAUCCGUAACUGGUCUGAGAGGAUGAUCAGUCACACUGGAACUGAGACACGGUCCAGACUCCUACGGGAGGCAGCAGUGGGGAAUAUUGGACAAUGGGCGAAAGCCUGAUCCAGCCAUGCCGCGUGUGUGAAGAAGGUCUUCGGAUUGUAAAGCACUUUAAGUUGGGAGGAAGGGCAGUAAGUUAAUACCUUGCUGUUUUGACGUUACCAACAGAAUAAGCACCGGCUAACUUCGUGCCAGCAGCCGCGGUAAUACGAAGGGUGCAAGCGUUAAUCGGAAUUACUGGGCGUAAAGCGCGCGUAGGUGGUUCAGCAAGUUGGAUGUGAAAUCCCCGGGCUCAACCUGGGAACUGCAUCCAAAACUACUGAGCUAGAGUACGGUAGAGGGUGGUGGAAUUUCCUGUGUAGCGGUGAAAUGCGUAGAUAUAGGAAGGAACACCAGUGGCGAAGGCGACCACCUGGACUGAUACUGACACUGA